RNAcentral lists this ribosomal RNA (500 nucleotides) under uncultured bacterium. Its description in RNAcentral is "bacterial SSU rRNA". It matches the Rfam family "Bacterial small subunit ribosomal RNA", at positions 166 to 662 of the family's 1533-position model. The record is from RNAcentral.
AUGUCCCAUACUAUUCUUUAAAUGCAUAUUUGAAGAAUGAAAGCUCCGGCGGUUAUUGAUGGGCAUGCGUGACAUUAGCUAGUUGGUGAGGUAACGGCUCACCAAGGCUACGAUGUCUAGGGGUCCUGAGAGGGUUAACCCCCACACUGGUACUGAGACACGGACCAGACUCCUACGGGAGGCAGCAGUAAGGAAUAUUGGGCAAUGGACGCAAGUCUGACCCAGCCAUGCCGCGUGAAGGAUGAAUGUCCUAUGGAUUGUAAACUUCUUUUAUGCAGGAAAAACAUCCCGGUCGUGAACCGGGACUGAUGGUACUGUAUGAAUAAGCAUCGGCUAACUCCGUGCCAGCAGCCGCGGUAAUACGGAGGAUGCAAGCGUUAUCCGGAUUCAUUGGGUUUAAAGGGUGCGCAGGCGGAAUAAUAAGUCAGUGGUGAAAUCUCCCGGCUCAACCCGGGAAACUGCCAUUGAUACUGCUAUUCUUGAGUACAGUUGAAGUGGGC